Molecule: ribosomal RNA, 252 nt
Filed under: uncultured bacterium
Lineage: Bacteria
Description: partial 16S ribosomal RNA
Rfam family: Bacterial small subunit ribosomal RNA
Source: RNAcentral
ACGGAGGGAGCUAGCGUUGUUCGGAAUUACUGGGCGUAAAGCGCGCGUAGGCGGUCCAUCAAGUCAGAGGUGAAAGCCCGGGGCUCAACCCCGGAACUGCCUUUGAAACUGGCGGACUAGAAUCUUGGAGAGGCGAGUGGAAUUCCGAGUGUAGAGGUGAAAUUCGUAGAUAUUCGGAAGAACACCAGUGGCGAAGGCGACUCGCUGGACAAGUAUUGACGCUGAGGUGCGAAAGCGUGGGGAGCAAACAGG